CCUACGGGAGGCUGCAGUGGGGAAUAUUGGACAAUGGGGGCAACCCUGAUCCAGCCAUGCCGCGUGUGUGAAGAAGGCCCUCGGGUUGUAAAGCACUUUCAGUGAGGAAGAACGCCUGGUGGUUAAUACCCAUCAGGAAAGACAUCACUCACAGAAGAAGCACCGGCUAACUCCGUGCCAGCAGCCGCGGUAAUACGGAGGGUGCGAGCGUUAAUCGGAAUUACUGGGCGUAAAGCGCGCGUAGGUGGCUUGAUAAGCCGGUUGUGAAAGCCCCGGGCUCAACCUGGGAACGGCAGCCGGAACUGGCAAGCUAGAGUGCAGGAGAGGAAGGUAGAAUUCCCGGUGUAGCGGUGAAAUGCGUAGAGAUCGGGAGGAAUACCAGUGGCGAAGGCGGCCUUCUGGACUGACACUGACACUGAGGUGCGAAAGCGUGGGUAGCAAACAGGAUUAGAUACCCUAGUAGUC
This 465-nucleotide ribosomal RNA is filed under the name Vreelandella stevensii. RNAcentral describes it as "partial 16S ribosomal RNA". It matches the Rfam family "Bacterial small subunit ribosomal RNA", at positions 338 to 795 of the family's 1533-position model. Lineage: Bacteria; Pseudomonadati; Pseudomonadota; Gammaproteobacteria; Oceanospirillales; Halomonadaceae. The record is from RNAcentral.